UUCCAGACUCCUACGGGAGGCAGCAGUGGGGAAUAUUGCACAAUGGGGGAAACCCUGAUGCAGCAACGCCGCGUGAGUGAAGAAGUAUUUCGGUAUGUAAAGCUCUAUCAGCAGGGAAGAAGAUGACGGUACCUGAAUAAGAAGCCCCGGCUAACUACGUGCCAGCAGCCGCGGUAAUACGUAGGGGGCAAGCGUUAUCCGGAUUUACUGGGUGUAAAGGGAGCGCAGACGGCAGUGCAAGUCUGGAGUGAAAGCCCGGGGCCCAACCCCGGAACUGCUCUGGAAACUGUGCGGCUAGAGUACUGGAGGGGCAGGCGGAAUUCCUAGUGUAGCGGUGAAAUGCGUAGAUAUCAGGAGGAACACCGGCGGCGAAGGCGGCCUGCUGGACCGCGACUGACGUUGAGGCUCGAAAGCGUGGGGAGCGAACAGGAUUAGAUACCCUCGUACC
RNAcentral lists this ribosomal RNA (448 nucleotides) under uncultured bacterium. Its description in RNAcentral is "bacterial SSU rRNA". It matches the Rfam family "Bacterial small subunit ribosomal RNA", at positions 329 to 794 of the family's 1533-position model. The record is from RNAcentral.